RNAcentral lists this long non-coding RNA (3138 nucleotides) under Mus musculus (house mouse). RNAcentral's name for it is "long non-coding RNA chr11:97830168-97833306". Lineage: Eukaryota; Metazoa; Chordata; Mammalia; Rodentia; Muridae. The record is from RNAcentral.
GACCCAGUCACACAGAAGGCCUGCCUGACAGCCGUCCUCAGGGGCACCCGGCCUAGUCACACAGAAGGCCUGCCGGGCAGGGGUCCUUCAGCCCCAGUCUCUGAAACCUUGUGCACAGAGACUUGAUGGUGCAGGAAGGGUUGGCUCCCUUCUGUGGAGGUCCAGCAUUUGGGGACUGGAGAACUGACUCAGCACGGGAGAACACUUCUUGCUCUUGCAGAGAACCUAGGUUCAGUUCCCAGCACCCAUGUGCUGGCUCGUGAGCAGAGCCGAGUCCUGACUGUCAGGACCCUCGGGAGGGUAAAGAAACACCCUCCAUGUUUGCUUAGGAAGCUGCUAGGUGGGCCAGGAGAAAUCACCCUGCUUCCCCUUCUUGCUGAGGGGGAAGUGGAGGGCAGGGGCAGCCUGAACAGAGCCUCCUAACGUUUCAGCCACUAUACCCCAUGCUUCUGGGUCCUCCCCAGGGUAGGGUAGUCCGGUGAUCAUCCCCCAUUUUUAGGGGGCCUGAAGUACUCUAGAUGUUUGGACAGAGUUGAGAGAACAGGGAGGGGUGUGUGGUGCUGCCUCACACUUAGCCUAAGGCUUGUCUGGGUGGGGCUUUGUCCACUGUUCCAGUGAAAGGUCCCGCAUAGAGCUCUCCAGGUCCUGCUUCCUCUUGCUUGAAAUGAAAGCGUGCAUCCGGCUUGAAUGAUCACUUAUUUAGUGCUUGUGUUAUCGAGGUCAGGGAUAACUUGCAAGUCAGCUUUCUCCUUCUGUGUUUGUUCUGGGAAUCAGGCUCAAGUCAUCAGGCGAGUGCCCUGACUUUCUGAGUCGCCAUCUUGCCAGCCCCCUCCUUCCUUAUAGUUCAGGGGAGAUAAUGUGUGGAAUGUGCUUAUGGCCUUGGUGUUAAGGGCUGCGCAGAUGUUAAGGUUGUUAACACUGACAGUGGCGAGUACACUGAUGGUGGUGAGUGGCGUCUGUGGGUCAAGGGAGGAUGGGAUUGUCUUCCACUGUUCAAGAUGCCGGAGUCUUUGGGGUCUUGUUUUAUACGCAUCUUCCCUCGAGACUCUGACUUUGUUAGAUUGGGCCUUGCUAUGUAGCCCUGUCAGGCCCAAAGCUCACUAUCUAGACCAGGCUGGCCUUGAAAGUUCGUGGCAUCCUGCAUCUGCCUCCCGAGUGUUAGGUUCAUAAGCAUAUGCCACCCUUCUUGGCCGCACACAGGGACUUCUAAGAAGUGAGGUGGGUGGAGCUAACCUGGAAAUACUCCUGUCCACAUACCUGCCCUCAGAACUGAUGGGCGUCCUCAGGGUCACAGGGGAAUAGGUAGUAAUUAGAAAUUAAAAACAAUUUUUUUUAAAAGAUUUAUUUAUUAUUAUAUGUAAGUACACUGUAGCUGUCUUCAGACACACCAGAAGAGGGAGUCAGAUCUUGUUACGGAUGGUUAUGAGCCACCAUGUGGUUGCUGGGAUUUGAACUCUGGACCUUCGGAAGAGCAAUCGGGUGCUCUUACCCACUGAGCCAUCUCACCAGCCCAACAAUUUUUUUUUUAAUAUGAGAAGGUUGUAGUCAAAAAUCCUUGGAAGAGCAGUUCUCUUGUGAACCUUACAGGCGGCAUUCUCCACUGCUUCCUAUUGGCCACAGAGCAGGGUCCCUAAGGAGCUAGAGAGGUCCCCUGCGUCUGUGCGUACCUCACACCUGUGUGUCCUUCCAGGCGGUGUGAGAGGUUUACCCCUGUGAAAUGUUAGUCCAGCUGCCUUGUUCCAGGCUGUUUCAGCAUUUGGAUGUGUGUCCCUGCUUGGUCGUGAAGGAUAGGACAGAGAAAGGGAGAGAGAGGUCUGACUCUACCCAGACUCCAUGAGUGGGCGGCUCUCUGCUUCUAGACAACACCCUUCCCACACUCCAUUGUCGCGCUGGCUGCUGCCCUGCCUGUCCGCCAGCCCAGACUACAGCAAUAACCAUUAUUUAGCCAGCGGUAGUGACCCAGGUACUCCCAGUUGGCCGCAGCCCUGUGCUUCCUGCCGACUAUGCACAGAGAAUGCCAAGGGUGGGGAAAGCCUGGGAAGGGGAUAACCUAAGCCCUCACUAGGACUCUUGGGUCUCCAGAGCUCUGGGUUUGGCUCCUUCCUUUUCUGUUGUUAAGAACAUGAGUGAGUUCGCCCAACUCCCUUACUCAUCCCUUCCGCUGCCGUUCUCCAGGGUUGAGAGGGCAGGCCAGAGUCCUGGUAAACAAGCAAGAAGCAACAUCUCGGGCAGAUGCUGAAGCCUCCAGAGAAUGGGACAGUCACCAUGCUGUUGUCUCUGUGUCUCAUUCCUUCUACCCAAACCCUGGGCCUUCUUUCUUUCCCCUUGGUUGAUCUCCUCCCAACCCCCAGUUUCCUCUGGGGGAACAGGGAGUGGACCUCAUGGAGGUUCUUCAGGCAGGGAGGGUGUGCCCCCUGGGGGUGCAGGAAGGACACCCAGACUCUCUGCCUGCCGCUUCUCUGCCUCAUGUUUUGUCCAUCACUUAAGUGUGCAUUUUACACUAUGUGUUCUGCAUUUGUACAGUGACAGUCCUGUAUCCUUAUUCUAAAGUACUAUGUGCUUUGUGGGGAUUGCGCUAAAGUCACCCAGGGGAGUAUUUGGCCUGUCUUUCGGCAAUCCAGGGACUGGCACAGUCAUUGUAUCAUGUGCUGACCAUAUAAAAUGAGCAGCAGCCUAGGGCCGUAAGUAGGAGCGGCUGUGGUGGUUACUGUUGACUGAAGGGGGAGCGAAAAAGGGUCAGGCCCUGCCACCGGGAAGCAAGCUCUCCCUUCUUUCUCCCCUUUCUCCCUCCUCGUCUUCUGUCUUUCUUUCUUUAGAGAUAGGGUCUCGGGUAGCCAAGCCAUUUUGCACUUUCUGUUUUGAGGUUGGGUCUCACUGUGUAGCCCUAGAUGGCCUAGAACUGGCUAAGUAGACCAGGAUAGCCUUAGUCUCAGAUCUGCCUGUCUCAGCCUCUGAAGUGGUGACGUUUAUAUACCAUGCCUGAUUUUGUGCAGAAUAUGGGGCUUUGUGACCAACCAGUCCUCGCAUGGAUUUCUUAUAGCUGGUAUCUCCUUGUACUGUGCAAUAGCACAUAGCAUUAAGGAGGUGAAUGUCUGAGUUGAAGGGCAACCUGGUCUACAUAGUGAGACGUUCUCACCC